CCCACCCAAAAAAAAAAAAAAAAAAAAAAUAGACACACACACAUACCCACCUAUGUUGAGUCUAAGACUUUCACAAUCGUUACUUCUUCAAACUCACACAUCCUAACUGGUUCAUUCUGGGAACAUAGAGGUCAACUAAUUGAUCAAGAAGACAAGACACUCACUUGCCCUGACAAGGUCAGUCUGGCUUCGUCAAGUUCCUCAUAAACAGGCCUAUUUUUUUUUUCCUGUUUACAACUUUGUUGUGGGCAAAGGCGAUGCAUCGCAAGCAAUGAGCUUCCAUAUCUUUAAUAAAUCUCCGGAACUAUAAUCUUUCUUUCACGUCGAUGGCUUUUGUUAUCCCUCUUAGAUGAAUCAUUGUGAUGAAAGUGGGAUAACAAAAGCCAUUGACGCAGAGGAAAGAAUUUAGUUCUGGAGAUCUAUUAAAGAUAGGGUAGCUAAUAGCCUGCCAUGCAUCGCCUUUGCCCACAAAAUAGUUGCAAGAAAAGAAAGUGGAUUUGUCAUGACGAGCUUGUAAAACCGAACUGGUCCUAUUAGCCCUAGUGGGUUUCAAGGAUAUGUGUUACCCACAAAAAGCCAUGUUUGUAGAAAUCAGAAGUUACCAAGCUAAUGAUGGGUUGAGAGUGGAAUAAGAAGAAGUGUGAGUUCAUAAGAGGGGAAGAAGGUGUGGUUUCAAGUUACAACACAAAUAUUCAAACGUUCAUGUAGUUUAAUUUCACCAUAUUCUGAUUGUGCUGCCCUUGUCCUCAACUUUUGUUGUUAAUUUGUUUCUCAAGAAAAUUUUCUAAAUAUUUGUAUUUCUCUCUCUCCCUUGUUUGUGUGUUUUCACUGUGUAUAUGGGUGCCAUGUGGACUUUAAUUUGUGCUCAUAUGUAAACAUUUUUGUAAAAUAACUAAGUCAGAUCAAUUGGUCACUUUUGUAUACUUUUAACCGAGAGUUCAGGUGAAAUUUAUGUCAUAAACAAAAAUUAAAUA
Camellia sinensis is the source of this 974-nucleotide non-coding RNA. The record is from RefSeq and is a predicted model, not a curated record. NCBI's taxonomy places the organism in Eukaryota, Viridiplantae, Streptophyta, Magnoliopsida, Ericales, Theaceae.